AAAACAUCGCCUCUUGAAAAACAUAAGAGGUCCAGCCUGCCCAGUGACACCUGUUCAACGGCCGCGGUAUCCUAACCGUGCGAAGGUAGCGUAAUCACUUGUCCUUUAAAUGGGGACUAGUAUGAAUGGCAUCACGAGGGUUAUACUGUCUCCUUUUUCUAAUCAGUUAAACUAAUCUCCCCGUGAAGAAGCGGGGAUACACCUAUAAGACGAGAAGACCCUAUGGAGCUUUAAACAAAACAGCACUUGCUAUUUUACACGCCAAUCUCAGGAAACUAACCCUUAUUUUAGCCUUCUGUCUGUCAGUUUUAGGUUGGGGUGACCGCGGAGUAAAAAAUAACCUCCACACUGGAAGGGACUUUCCCUAAGCAAAAAGUCACAACUUUAUGCAUCAAUAAAUUGACACCAAUUGACCCAAUAUUUUGAUCAACGAAACAAGUUACCCUAGGGAUAACAGCGCAAUCCACUUCGAGAGCCCUUAUCGACAAGUGGGUUUACGACCUCGAUGUUGGAUCAGGGUACCCCAGUGGUG
Molecule: ribosomal RNA, 532 nt
Filed under: Gastrotheca ruizi (Ruiz's marsupial frog)
Lineage: Eukaryota; Metazoa; Chordata; Amphibia; Anura; Hemiphractidae
Description: partial 16S ribosomal RNA
Rfam family: Bacterial large subunit ribosomal RNA
Source: RNAcentral